UUCAAUGAAGAACAAAAGGGGUCGGGUAAGCUAGCUUCUGAAGCGUCGGGAGAGGAGACAGAGGGGCAGUCCUCUCAGGAAUUCGACUGGAAACUAUACGUAGAUGGGGCAUCAAGCGCCGGGGGCAGUGGCGCUGGAAUACUGCUGAAGGGACCAGGAGAAUUUAAGGUUUGCUAUGCCCUACGCCUAGAAUUCAAGGCUUCCAAUAAUGUGGCAGAGUAUGAAGCCCUAAUAAAUGGGAUGCUGGUGGCAA
This 253-nucleotide long non-coding RNA is filed under the name Manihot esculenta (cassava). RNAcentral's name for it is "long non-coding RNA (MESC_LNC012262)". Lineage: Eukaryota; Viridiplantae; Streptophyta; Magnoliopsida; Malpighiales; Euphorbiaceae. The record is from RNAcentral.